ACGCUCGACACCUACGGGGGGCAGCAGUGGGGAAUAUUGCACAAUGGGGGAAACCCUGAUGCAGCGACGCCGCGUGGAGGAAGAAGGUCUUCGGAUUGUAAACUCCUGUUGUUGGGGAAAAAGAGGAUGGUACCCAACAAGGAAGUGACGGCUAACUACGUGCCAGNGCGCGGAGUAUGNGNGGCGNGNGAGAG
Molecule: ribosomal RNA, 194 nt
Filed under: uncultured bacterium
Lineage: Bacteria
Description: partial 16S ribosomal RNA
Rfam family: Bacterial small subunit ribosomal RNA
Source: RNAcentral